This 332-nucleotide ribosomal RNA is filed under the name uncultured eukaryote. RNAcentral's name for it is "partial 18S ribosomal RNA". It matches the Rfam family "Eukaryotic small subunit ribosomal RNA", at positions 1470 to 1796 of the family's 1831-position model. The record is from RNAcentral.
CCCUUAGAUGUCCUGGGCCGCACGCGCGCUACACUGAGUGUCUGAGAUAUGAGGCAUGCCUGGUCCGGCAAGGUCUAGGUAAUCACGAAAAGGCACAUCAUGCUUGGGAUUGAUUAUUGCAAAUUUUAAUCAUGAACGAGGAAUUCCCAGUAAGCGCGAGUCAUAAGCUCGCGUUGAUUACGUCCCUGCCCUUUGUACACACCGCCCGUCGCUACUACCGAUUGGAUGGUUUAGUGAGAUCCUCGGAUUGGUCCCGGCGCGGCCUCUGGUCGUGCCGGAGUGCCGAAAAGAAUGUCGAACUUGAUCAUCUAGAGGAAGUAAAAGUCGUAACA